Molecule: transfer RNA, 69 nt
Filed under: Rattus norvegicus (Norway rat)
Lineage: Eukaryota; Metazoa; Chordata; Mammalia; Rodentia; Muridae
Rfam family: tRNA
About the family: Transfer RNA (tRNA) molecules are approximately 80 nucleotides in length. Their secondary structure includes four short double-helical elements and three loops (D, anti-codon, and T loops). Further hydrogen bonds mediate the characteristic L-shaped molecular structure. tRNAs have two regions of fundamental functional importance: the anti-codon, which is responsible for specific mRNA codon recognition, and the 3' end, to which the tRNAs corresponding amino acid is attached (by aminoacyl-tRNA synthetases). tRNAs cope with the degeneracy of the genetic code in two manners: having more than one tRNA (with a specific anti-codon) for a particular amino acid; and 'wobble' base-pairing, i.e. permitting non-standard base-pairing at the 3rd anti-codon position.
Source: Rfam by way of RNAcentral
GGGGAUUUAGCUCAGUGGUAGAGCACUUGCUUAGCAAGCACAAGGCCCUGGGUUCAGUCCCCAGCUCCG